CUUAUGCAUUUGCCUUGCCCUUCUGAAUUACGCAUAUAUGUAUAUAUACAUAUAUUACAUAUAUAUGUGUGUGUAUAUACACACACAUAUAUAUGUAAUAUAUGUAUAUAUACAUAUAUGCGUAAUUCAGAAGGGCAAGGCAAAUGCAUAAG
RNAcentral lists this microRNA precursor (152 nucleotides) under Marmota monax (woodchuck). The record is from RNAcentral. Lineage: Eukaryota; Metazoa; Chordata; Mammalia; Rodentia; Sciuridae.